GAUGAACGCUGGCGGCGUGCCUAAUACAUGCAAGUCGAACGGACAGACGAGGAGCUUGCUCCGCUGACGUUUGCGGAGGGCGUGUGUGACACACGUGUAUCACCUCCCUGUAAUACUGGUAUAACUUCGGAAAACCGGCGCUUAUACCGGAUAAGAUAUUGAUCCGCGUGGGUCAAUGGUGAAAGACGGUUUUGGGGUCUGUUCUAGCUGGAUCCGCGCCGCAUUGGCUAGUAGGUAAGGUAACGGGUUACCACGGCAACGAUGCGUAGCCGACCUGAGAGGGUGAUCGGCCACACUGGAACUGAGACACGGUCCAGACUCCUACGGGAGGCAGCAGUAUGGAAUCUUCCGCAGAGGGCGAAAGCCUGACGGAGCAACGCCGCGUGAGUGAUGAAGGUCUUCGGAUCGUAAAACUCUGUUAUGAGGUAAGAACAACUGUGUAAGGAACUAUGCACGUCGUGACGGUACCUAGUCAGAAAGCAACGGCUAACUACGUG
Molecule: ribosomal RNA, 497 nt
Filed under: uncultured bacterium
Lineage: Bacteria
Description: partial 16S ribosomal RNA
Rfam family: Bacterial small subunit ribosomal RNA
Source: RNAcentral